Molecule: ribosomal RNA, 265 nt
Filed under: uncultured Methanosaeta sp.
Lineage: Archaea; Methanobacteriati; Methanobacteriota; Methanomicrobia; Methanotrichales; Methanotrichaceae
Description: partial 16S ribosomal RNA
Rfam family: Archaeal small subunit ribosomal RNA
Source: RNAcentral
AAAGCUCCGGCGCCUAAGGAUGGGUCUGCGGCCUAUCAGGUAGUAGUGGGUGUAGCGUACCUACUAGCCUACGACGGGUACGGGUUGUGAGAGCAAGAGCCCGGAGAUGGAUUCUGAGACACGAAUCCAGGCCCUACGGGGUGCAGCAGGCGCGAAAACUUUACAAUGCUGGCAACAGCGAUAAGGGAACCUCGAGUGCCAGGUUACAAAUCUGGCUGUCGAGAUGCCUAAAAAGCAUUUCAUAGCAAGGGCCGGGCAAGACCGG